GGAAGUAAAAGUCGCAACAAGGUCUCCGUUGGUGAACCAGCGGAGGGAUCAUUACCGAGUGCAAACUCAUAACCCUUUGUGAACCUAUAUCUGUUGCUUCGGCGGCUCGCUCUCGGGCGAGCCCGCCGGUAAUAUCAGUAUCUCUGUUUGAACCCGACGAUACUUCUGAGUGUUCUUAGCGAACAGUUAAAACUUUUAACAACGGAUCUCUUGGCUCUA
Molecule: unclassified non-coding RNA, 219 nt
Filed under: plant metagenome
Description: partial contains small subunit ribosomal RNA, internal transcribed spacer 1, and 5.8S ribosomal RNA
Rfam family: Eukaryotic small subunit ribosomal RNA (bases 1-54)
Source: RNAcentral